GUAAACGUCACCACCACGUUUGGGAAUUCAGUCUCAACCUCCUUUCCCAAUUACCUAACCAACUCUUUCCACUCACACACUCAUUCCACACCUUAGAAGAAGAAAAAAAAAAGGGUUACAUAGAGAGACAGAGAAAAAGGGAACCUAGAGGGAGUCUGAAGGAGAAAGGAGAGAGUACAAGAAAUUCACUAUAAGGAGACAAGUAUAGAGGUGGGAGAGCAAAGACCGCUGCGUGAGGAGUUUAACGACGGUUGUUGCGAAGAUAAUCAUCAAUUCGUCUUUCCUCCUUAACGGCGACGUCAGGGAGGUAAAGUGAUAUAGUAGAAGAAGACGCAAGUAAAGCGGUGGUGCACAUUUGGAGGCUUGAUAAAUUCCGACAGUGGUAUUAGCCUUGAUGAGAAAACUUUUCGCAAGCAUCCGAAACUAUGGCCAGCUAGGUUUAUUCUUGGGUAGAGAAAAAAGGGCCAAGUGUCUUGUUCGUAGGAUACUUAUAUUUUUGAUGUAAGACAACUUUGAUUUACUAUUUUGAAAGUUCAAAGAGAAA
Long non-coding RNA from Medicago truncatula (barrel medic), 544 nucleotides. RefSeq lists it as uncharacterized. The transcript has 3 exons. The record is from RefSeq and is a predicted model, not a curated record. Lineage: Eukaryota; Viridiplantae; Streptophyta; Magnoliopsida; Fabales; Fabaceae.